Molecule: long non-coding RNA, 1378 nt
Filed under: Fukomys damarensis (Damara mole-rat)
Lineage: Eukaryota; Metazoa; Chordata; Mammalia; Rodentia; Bathyergidae
Description: lncRNA (ENSFDAG00000023843.1)
Source: RNAcentral
CAGGUGCCGUGUCCAUGACAACCGCGUUACCCUUUGGGCGGGGACCUGGAGGGGAAUCUCUUGGAGCUGCCAGGCAGUCUGGGCGGGGAUGGGUUCCUAAGCAGCCAGAAUUGAUGUCCAAGGUGUUUAAGACCCGCUGUUUGUCCUCGAGUUUGUCCUCGACAGCAAGGAAUAUAUACACCUGCCAGCCACCUGCACUCCGGCUUUUGGGUGGUGGAAUGUAACGAUAAUUGAGGGACAAUGGUACAAAUCUACAUAAAAGGAGCAGAAAUGAAACUAUGUAGCAAAUAAGGGGGUGUUCCAUUUAAAACAGAAGAUAUCAAAGGACUAUUAUCUAGAAUAUAUAAAGAACUCAAAAAACCAGCCCCCCAAAUAUAAAGACCCAAUUCAAAAAUGGGCAUCUGAAAUGAACAGACAUUUCUCAGACAAAGAAGUAAAAGCAUCAACUAAAUAUAUGAAAAAAUGUUCCACAUCAUUAGUCAUUUGAGAUCUGCAGAUGAAAACAACACUGAGAUUCCACCUCACCCCACAAAGAAUGGCUGCUAUCAAGAAAUCACACAAUAACAAAUGUUGGCGGGGUUGUGGGGAGAAAGGAGCCCUUCUCCAUUGUUGGUGGGAGUGCAGACUAGUGCAACCACUAUGGAAAUAAAUAUGGAGAUACCUCAAAGAGCUAGGAUUAGAGGUUCCAUAUGACCCAGCCAUCCCUCUUCUGGGUGUCUUUCCAAAAGAAUUAAAAGAAUCAUAUCACAGUGAUAUAUGCUCACCCAUGUUUACAACGGCACAGUUUGUAAUAGCUAAAACUUGCAACAGUCCAUUUGCCCAGUAGUUGGAGACUGGAUAAAGAAGAUGUGGUUUUUCUAUAACAUGGAAUACUACUCAGCCAUAAAGAAUGAGAAAUUACAGUCAUUCAUAGGAAAAUGGAUAAAUAUUGAUGAUAUAUAUUCCUAAAUGAAAUAAAUACGUCACACAUGUGUAAAGACUGAAUAGUUUCUCUGGUGUGAAAAACUAUAAUUGUACAUAAGAUCCUAAUGGUAUAAUUUACAAUGUGAAAUAGAAGUAAAGGGGCUAAAAGUAUAGGGGAAGUGGGAAGGGUAGGGGAAAGGUAAUAAGGGAAAAGAAAAAAAUGAGAAGAAGAAAAAAUAGAAAUAAAGUAUUUGCAAAUAGGGAAGGGAGGAGUGGGUGAAGGGAGGGCAGGGGUAAGGGGAAAAAUGAGAACCAAGACCUGUUAUGUAAAGGUACAACUUCCCAAUGAUGAAUGCAACUACUUUGUACACCUAAAAUGCACCAAUAAACUCAAUGUGAAAAAAACAAAGAAAACAGAAGAUGUCACCAUAAUCUCUCCAGUUCCUUUUUAUUAAGCAACUAAAGAAUAUACAUG